CACUCUAGAGAGACUGCCAGGGAUAACCUGGAGGAAGGUGGGGAUGACGUCAAAUCAUCAUGCCCCUUAUGCUUAGGGCUACACACGUGCUACAAUGGGUAGUACAGAGGGUUGCCAAGCCGUAAGGCGGAGCUAAUCCCUUAAAGCUACUCUCAGUUCGGAUUGUAGGCUGAAACUCGCCUACAUGAAGCUGGAGUUACUAGUAAUCGCAGAUCAGAAUGCUGCGGUGAAUGCGUUCCCGGGUCUUGUACACACCGCCCGUCACACCACGGGAGGUGGAGACGCCCGAAGCCGAUUAUCUAACCUUUUGGAAGAAGUCGUCGAAGGUGGAAUUAAUAACUGGGGUGAAGUCGUAACAAGGUAGCCGUAUCGGAAGGUGCGGCUGGAUCACCUCCUUUCUAAGGAGA
Molecule: ribosomal RNA, 407 nt
Filed under: Clostridioides difficile
Lineage: Bacteria; Bacillati; Bacillota; Clostridia; Peptostreptococcales; Peptostreptococcaceae
Description: bacterial SSU rRNA
Rfam family: Bacterial small subunit ribosomal RNA
Source: RNAcentral